Molecule: ribosomal RNA, 253 nt
Filed under: uncultured bacterium
Lineage: Bacteria
Description: partial 16S ribosomal RNA
Rfam family: Bacterial small subunit ribosomal RNA
Source: RNAcentral
UACGUAGGGAGCGAGCGUUAUCCGGAAUUAUUGGGUGCAAAGGGUGCGUAGACGGGUAAAUAAGUUAGUUGUGAAAUCCCUCGGCUCAACUGAGGAACUGCAACUAAAACUGUAUAUCUUGAGUGCGGGAGAGGAAAGUGGAAUUCCUAGUGUAGCGGUGAAAUGCGUAGAUAUUAGGAGGAACACCAGUGGCGAAGGCGACUUUCUGGACCGUAACUGACGUUGAGGCACGAAAGUGUGGGGAGCAAACAGG